GGUAUUAAAUUAUUUGUGUCCUUAAGCCCAAUCAAUAGUAGACUUGAGUUUUUAUUUUUGUAUUAAGGUCCAUAAUAGUGCUGCAGCGUGAAAGAGAGAGAAUAUUGCAAUCUGACAGAAUCAAAUCUCCUUUCUGCCACCAGCGUCUUUUCAUCUCCCAAGAAAUCUUUUAUCCCCAAAUCCAAAUCUGCUCAGAAAAUAUUCUUUUCUCUACCGAUGCAGCAUCUGUUCUUCACCCUUUCACUCCUUUAAAACUCCCUUUCAAGAACAUUCCCGGUCCUUUUCCAUCUCCAAUCUGCAAAAUCUGCCACUUAAAAUACUUUCAACCUCAAGAGUUCAAGACACCCAUCAAGCUUAUCAAGCCAAAUAAGCAAUACUACAGCACAUUCAUCAAAACCAAACUGAACAAGGUUCGAUCUCUCCCUUCAACUUUAUACCACAGCAUGUAUUUCCUCUACAACUAGAUUUACAAUCUCACACAUUGACAUGAACUUGAACAGCAUACUUUUCAUUCAUAACUUGUAAGGAUUUUUAGUAAAACACAAUCUCUGCUAAAAUAAGACUAUUAAAAUCUGUACUACAACAAAGCAACUAUAUCAAGAACAGUACCAACGAACACCAAACUUGACGCCUUUCCUGCUUCCUUUCUCGUGAACCAAUUCCCAUUAUUCUUCAAGAACAUACCUUGUUUAACUCUGCAAGUUCGAUCUUCCUUUCCUUCUUCCUCUUGGGCUGGGAUGUGGGAGUCUUGGUCUGGAAUGUGGGAGUCGAGGGAAGAAGAGGGUCUUCUGCCCGGUGAUGAGGACGGCGGCGGCACGGCGAAUUUCAGAACGCCGUUGCUCGGCCGGCCGCGAGGAAGAAAGGGGAGUCGGCUGGCAGCAGGACUGCUGUGGUAGAGUCGCUGCCUAGGUGGCUGACCACCACACGCAGAGGGAGAAGUGAUGGAGCGGGCUGGGCCGUGAGAGGGAGCGCUGGAGGAUGGCGGCGGCGCGGCCGGAGGCCAGGCGCGCUGCCCGCUGUGAAAACAGCAGCGGCGGCGGCAACCUUCCUCGGCCGUCCGCUGCAGAUGACGCAAGGGAGAAGAGGGUGGGGAGCGCGAGGUGGCUGGUGGCUGACGGCGAGGCCAGGGCGGCGCGGCCUAAGGCCGAGCGCCGCUGACGCGGCGGAAAUGGAGCAGCAUCGGCGGCGGCCCUCCUUGACCGUCUGCUAUCGGGAGCGAGAGAAGGAAGGCGAUGAGAGGGAGGCCCCGGAUCCGGCGAUUUCGCCGGAGCUGGAGGCGGCCGGCGUGGAGCUCGGGAGGGAAGGCGGAGGUUCUGGAGAAAAGGGGGGCGAGGCGAGAGAGGGAGAGAGAAGCGUGAGUAGAGAGAGAGGAAGAUUGACUUGUUUUAUUUUAAUUACCUUUAGGUUUAUUUAAGCUUUGUUUGGGCCUCAUUUCAUAAUAAUUUGAUGGGCUUUUUCUUUGACAUGGGCCGAUUCUUAAUAGAGUACCGGGCCGAUUUUAAUAUUUAAAUGGGCUACACAUUUUUAGAUUGUUUUUGGGCUGCAUUAUUAUAACAAGUCUUUAGAUUAUUAUCUUGGGCUUUAACUAUUAUCUUGAGCCUGAAAGUAGUUUAAUAAUAAAUUAUUAAUUUUUCUCCCAAUAUUAAGGUUUAUAUUUUCUUUUAAUUUUUAAUUAUUUAUAAAUUUAGUGGUAAUUAUAUUUAUUAAAUUACUAAUUAUGUAUUAAGAGUUUAUUGAUUCACUUAUAGAGAUUUUUAAUUCGGGCAAAAUGUAUCAAUAGUUAGCAAUCCUUACUUUACUUAGAAAUUAGGAUGACACCUCGAGACCUAUUUAGAAUAGAUUCUUGUAGGUUCGAGUAACCAAGGGC
Molecule: long non-coding RNA, 1867 nt
Filed under: Salvia miltiorrhiza (redroot sage)
Lineage: Eukaryota; Viridiplantae; Streptophyta; Magnoliopsida; Lamiales; Lamiaceae
Description: long non-coding RNA (SMIL_LNC005762)
Source: RNAcentral